AGGCAAUCAGCUGCUGGAGUUGCCAUUAUGAACAAGACCUGAUUAGGGCAGGGAGAUGAUUUUUAAUUUUGGAUCAUGUAUUAAUCAUGUUCUGUGAUGAAGACAGCCUAUAUUGAUGGGUGUUUGAGUUGUGAAUGUCAGUUAAGCCAAUGAGCAUUCAAUUUGCACGUAGGGUACUGUUCUACAUAUACAUGUGCAAUCUUCACUGACAUCAUUAAGUCAGCUCGAGAAUUGAAACCCAGGCCAUCGGGUGUAGUUGUGUGUGUGUCAAGUUACAGGUGUCAGCAGCUAAGAGUCCACAUAGAGGCAAGAUCAAGUAUUGUUUGAUUAGUGCUAUUCCUGAUGUGAGGAUAUGGGCUGCUAGUUUUGAAUGUCAGUAUGGCUAUGUGGUUUUUUAGUAAUAUUUAGUUUUGAAAAAAUCAAUUAUUGGUUCCCCUUUCAAUGUAAUUUCUGUGAAUUCUGCACUGCUCUG
RNAcentral lists this long non-coding RNA (472 nucleotides) under Mus musculus (house mouse). Its description in RNAcentral is "long non-coding RNA chr13:61807840-61808312". The record is from RNAcentral. Lineage: Eukaryota; Metazoa; Chordata; Mammalia; Rodentia; Muridae.